RNAcentral lists this ribosomal RNA (250 nucleotides) under uncultured prokaryote. RNAcentral's name for it is "partial 16S ribosomal RNA". The stretch from base 36 to 250 matches the Rfam family "Bacterial small subunit ribosomal RNA", at positions 561 to 775 of the family's 1533-position model. The record is from RNAcentral.
CCUAUUCUCCUCUCUUUCUCCCGCUUUACCUUUCCUAAAGCGCGUUCCCGCGGUUGUUUCCGCCCCUUUUUCCCCCUCCCCUCUCCCCUUUUCUCUUCCUUGUGAGACUGAAAAACUGGAGAGAGGUAGAGGCGAAUGGAAUUCCGGGUGUAGUGGUGAAAUGCGUAGAGAUCCGGAGGAACACCAGAGGCGAAGGCGACACCCUGGGCCGUACCUGACGCUAAGACGCGACAGCACGGGGAGCGAACGG